UACGUAGGUGGCAAGCGUUGUCCGGAUUUACUGGGUGUAAAGGGCGCGUAGGCGGGAUUGCAAGUCAGAUGUGAAAUGCCGUGGCUUAACCACGGAGCUGCAUUUGAAACUGUAGUUCUUGAGUAUCGGAGAGGCAGACGGAAUUCCUAGUGUAGCGGUGAAAUGCGUAGAUAUUAGGAAGAACACCAGUGGCGAAGGCGGUCUGCUGGACGACAACUGACGCUGAGGCGCGAAAGCGUGGGGAG
This 245-nucleotide ribosomal RNA is filed under the name uncultured Oscillospiraceae bacterium. RNAcentral describes it as "partial 16S ribosomal RNA". It matches the Rfam family "Bacterial small subunit ribosomal RNA", at positions 524 to 768 of the family's 1533-position model. The record is from RNAcentral. Lineage: Bacteria; Bacillati; Bacillota; Clostridia; Eubacteriales; Oscillospiraceae.